This 429-nucleotide ribosomal RNA is filed under the name Bacteroidota bacterium. RNAcentral's name for it is "Bacteroidetes bacterium partial 16S ribosomal RNA". It matches the Rfam family "Bacterial small subunit ribosomal RNA", at positions 355 to 776 of the family's 1533-position model. The record is from RNAcentral. Lineage: Bacteria; Pseudomonadati; Bacteroidota.
UAGGGAAUCUUCCGCAAUGGACGCAAGUCUGACGGAGCAACGCCGCGUGAGUGAAGAAGGAUUUCGGUUCGUAAAACUCUGUUGUUAGAGAAGAACAGCGCAUAGAGUAACUGUUAUGCGUGUGACGGUAUCUAACCAGAAAGCCACGGCUAACUACGUGCCAGCAGCCGCGGUAAUACGUAGGUGGCAAGCGUUGUCCGGAUUUAUUGGGCGUAAAUCGAGCGCAGGCGGUCAAUUAAGUCUGCUGUGAAAGCCCUCGGCUCGACCGGGGCGGGUCAUUGGAAACUGAUUCACUUGAUUGCAGAAGAGGAGAGUGAAAUUCCAUGUGUAGCGGUGAAAUGCGUAGAUAUAUGGAGGACCACCAGUGGCGAAAGCGACUCUCUGGUCUGUAAAUGACGCUGAGGCUCGAAAGCGUGGGUAGCAAACAGG